Molecule: non-coding RNA, 74 nt
Organism: Candidatus Woesebacteria bacterium
Lineage: Bacteria; Candidatus Woeseibacteriota
Source: Rfam
GGUCGCUUAGCUCAGUUGGUUAGAGCGAACGGUUUACAUCCGUUAGGUCGGGGGUUCGAGCCCCUCAGCGACCA